Molecule: transfer RNA, 72 nt
Filed under: Chelydra serpentina (North American snapping turtle)
Lineage: Eukaryota; Metazoa; Chordata; Testudines; Chelydridae
Description: tRNA-Ala
Rfam family: tRNA
About the family: Transfer RNA (tRNA) molecules are approximately 80 nucleotides in length. Their secondary structure includes four short double-helical elements and three loops (D, anti-codon, and T loops).
Source: RNAcentral
GGGGAUGUAGCUCAGUGGUAGAGCGCCUGCUUUGCAUGUUUGAGGUCCUGGGUUCAAUCCCCAGCAUCUCCA